This 73-nucleotide transfer RNA is filed under the name Candidatus Omnitrophota bacterium. RNAcentral describes it as "Candidatus Omnitrophica bacterium (sediment metagenome) tRNA-Arg". It matches the Rfam family "tRNA". Rfam says of the family: Transfer RNA (tRNA) molecules are approximately 80 nucleotides in length. Their secondary structure includes four short double-helical elements and three loops (D, anti-codon, and T loops). Further hydrogen bonds mediate the characteristic L-shaped molecular structure. tRNAs have two regions of fundamental functional importance: the anti-codon, which is responsible for specific mRNA codon recognition, and the 3' end, to which the tRNAs corresponding amino acid is attached (by aminoacyl-tRNA synthetases). tRNAs cope with the degeneracy of the genetic code in two manners: having more than one tRNA (with a specific anti-codon) for a particular amino acid; and 'wobble' base-pairing, i.e. permitting non-standard base-pairing at the 3rd anti-codon position. The record is from RNAcentral. Lineage: Bacteria; Pseudomonadati; Candidatus Omnitrophota.
GCCCCCGUAGCUCAGCUGGAUAGAGCGCAGGUUUCCUAAACCUGAUGUGGCCGUUCGAGUCGGCCCGGGGGCG